RNAcentral lists this ribosomal RNA (465 nucleotides) under Vreelandella stevensii. Its description in RNAcentral is "partial 16S ribosomal RNA". It matches the Rfam family "Bacterial small subunit ribosomal RNA", at positions 338 to 795 of the family's 1533-position model. Lineage: Bacteria; Pseudomonadati; Pseudomonadota; Gammaproteobacteria; Oceanospirillales; Halomonadaceae. The record is from RNAcentral.
CCUACGGGUGGCAGCAGUGGGGAAUAUUGGACAAUGGGGGGAACCCUGAUCCAGCCAUGCCGCGUGUGUGAAGAAGGCCCUCGGGUUGUAAAGCACUUUCAGUGAGGAAGAACGCCUGGUGGUUAAUACCCAUCAGGAAAGACAUCACUCACAGAAGAAGCACCGGCUAACUCCGUGCCAGCAGCCGCGGUAAUACGGAGGGUGCGAGCGUUAAUCGGAAUUACUGGGCGUAAAGCGCGCGUAGGUGGCUUGAUAAGCCGGUUGUGAAAGCCCCGGGCUCAACCUGGGAACGGCAUCCGGAACUGUCAAGCUAGAGUGCAGGAGAGGAAGGUAGAAUUCCCGGUGUAGCGGUGAAAUGCGUAGAGAUCGGGAGGAAUACCAGUGGCGAAGGCGGCCUUCUGGACUGACACUGACACUGAGGUGCGAAAGCGUGGGUAGCAAACAGGAUUAGAUACCAUUGUAGUC